Podarcis lilfordi (Lilford's wall lizard) is the source of this 73-nucleotide non-coding RNA. NCBI's taxonomy places the organism in Eukaryota, Metazoa, Chordata, Lepidosauria, Squamata, Lacertidae. The record is from the annotation of a GenBank genome assembly.
CCUGGGAUAGCUCAGUCAGUAAAGCAAGAGACUCUUAAUCUCAGGGUGAUGGAUUCGAACCCCACCCCUGGGC